Molecule: long non-coding RNA, 3407 nt
Filed under: Gallus gallus (chicken)
Lineage: Eukaryota; Metazoa; Chordata; Aves; Galliformes; Phasianidae
Source: RNAcentral
CUCCGAAAGACAAGUAUGUGUGGAACUGAUUCUGUGAGCAGACCCUUCAUUUUUAUUGGCGUCAUUACGAAUCCAAAAACAGGAAGAGGGAAAUCUGCAUUAGGGCCACAACAUUUAGGUCUUAAGAAUCAUACUGGAGACAAAAUGUAGGCACUGUCUGCUGGAAGUCACCGACAGAGAAAAGAAUCACUCAGGCGACGUGCAUGUUGUCAGAGGAACUAGUGAAAGAGGAAGAGAAAAUGUAGCACUGGAAAGUAACGAUGAUAAUCUAUUGCAUUGGAUCUCCAAACAUGACCAUGAUGUCCUGGAGAAGAUCACAGAUGCAGAAAAUGAAUGCUAAGGUUGAUAUCUAAUGAAAUGCUGCAUUAAUUGGCAUCUUCUCCAUUAUUUCUUGUAGUCUGCUAUGAAAUUAGAUACUUUGGAAAACAAUGAAGGAGACUCAAGCAGAAAUUACAAGAGCUUUAUUUCUAUCUUUAAUGGGUCUUGCAAGUUAUUGUUUUCACAAACAAAGUGUUCAGAAUAUUAUUGUUUAAUGAAGUUCAGUUAAUCAGGUUAUGUAACUUUUUUUGGUAAAUCGAUACUGAUUUUAAUACAUAAUUCAGAUGUAGGUAAUUUAGGUAUGGUAUCUGCAUUUGCUGAUUUUACCUAGUCUAUUCUAAAUCUUCUAUUGCACUAGAUUAUCAAAGAGGUAUUAGUAAAAUGUUAUAUAAAGGGUGUUGGCAUUAAUCUUAACCCCAAUUAGAUGUGGGCUUUUCAAAAAGUUAAAAACAAGCCUUUACCCUCCUCUGUUUUCUUAUAUCUACUGAUAAUUAUAAUUAAAACAAAACAACACGACAAACCAAAAUGAAAGCAAGCAAACAAACAAAAUAAACAGCAACAAAAAAAGAAUGAAAAGAAUCACAUUGUUAGUAUAACCGGUAUUAAGCUCUGGGCCAGGUUGGAAAUGAAAUCAAUUUUUGGUACUUAUAACUGAUGGCAAAGAUUAACUCUAUGAAAAUAUGGUGUGUGUCUCUGACAAUGCAUAGGACAUCUAAUCUGAUCAUAAAUAUACAAUUAUAAACAAGAUGUAUCUAUUCCUGGAUGGUAAAAGCUUGAGGCGUAUAUAAAUACAUAUGUUUGUAUAUAUAUGGACUAUAUGGACAUAUACACAAGGACGUAUCAACCUUUUACCAUCCAAAUGCAUACAGAUCUUCAACAAUGAAAGCUGGGACUCUUUAAAAAAAUAAAAAUAAAGCAAGAUUGCUGUGAAUACAGUAUAUGCACUAGGUCUCCUGUAAAUGAGGAACUGUUUGUUAUCAUUUUCUGUGUUGAAAAACAGUCUCCAACAUGGAUCCCAAUGACUUUUAGAUGUUAAAGAAGAAAAUAGCAAUGAACAAACAGCCCAUAGAGGCUGUCUGAAUCACCAAAAUACGUCUAGUAAAAUAAAUUUAAAGCACAUGCAAGGAAAAAUAAAAAUGUGAAGUCAUUACAUUCAGUGAGAGAAUAUUAACUGAUAGAUAAAUGUCUACCACUUCUCAAGCAGAGGAUCCUUGUGACUCCAUGAACACUUCUGGUCAGUCUGGCAAACCUGCAAAUGUUUGGCUGUUUUAUUGGGGCAUCUUUUCGUUCAUGGAAGAAAUGCUUCCAUGGCGAAGGGAGUGGGAAUAGAAUAUCUAUGUUUUUAAAGGACAAACAAUAAAUUUAAGCAUGGGUGGCCUUAAUCCUUAGUAGUUUUUCUUUGCUGCUGUAAAAAAGAAAAAUCUAAGUGGAUACUCCUAAAGUCUUGCACUGAAUUUAGAAAAAAUAUUUUUUGAACCUGUGGUGCAAUUAACCCUAAACAUCCUACAUGAGCCAUACAUAUAGCCCUUUAAAGUGAUUGUCUAGAGAUGAUAUUUUAUUUAUUUGUACCAUAAUUCUUGGUGCAAUCAAAGAGCAAUUUAUUUGAGCAGGAGUCCUGCUGGAUGCUACUGUUUUCCAUAGAUAGAAAAUGUACAGAAUUAGUAUAGCAUAGAUAAUCCAAAUUUCAUUCAUGUUUAAAAAGUUUGUCCUUUAACUAUCAAUGGCAUUUUAGAUUUUUGUUUUGAAACAGCAAAGCUUUUGGGAGUAUAUUUAGCACAUAUGACAAAUGUUGCACUUGGAAACUCAGACAACAAAGCUUAGUUUCUUGUGACAAAUUUGUUGUCACAGUAGGGGACAAUCGUCUGUGUCUCUUACAAUCAGGUCUUAACCUUAACUCUGCAACUGAAUACUUGAAGUAGGAAAUAAACUAGGGGGAAAUAGGGUCAGAUGCAAAGCUGUAUAGUUAGAUAUUUAUAUGUAUGUGCCAAUUUUGUCACAGGUAUUACUUUAGGGGCAUUUUUGCUCCAUUCAUGUUGGUAAGAGUAUUGAUCUAAACUUUUAUCAGGGCCUACAGUUUAGCCCUAAGGAGGAAAACUCUGUCUAACAUUGCUUCUUUCUUUACCUUUCUUCUUCCUUUUCUUUUUUUCAUUUCAUGUGAUACUCUACGAUGUUUGCAGAAAAUCUUUUCAUAUACUAAAAUAGAAUCUCGGGGUUUACAAUAAACACUGUGAUGUUGGGAAAAUAUUUUAUUUCAGCAAUGUUUGGUAGUUUUUUUCCCCCUCAAAGUGUAAAGAAGCAAACCAACUUUUGGUUAACACUUAAGAUAAUGAUUAUUAUUUUAAUGUGAGAUCAGUCUUGUACUGCGCAUUCUUUCUUUCAUUUAAAUGUACAGUAUGAAUUUUGUAUUUAAUGAAUUUUGUGUAUCCAGUAUGCACGUACCUGCACAUUGACUUUCAUUUGAAAGUGAGUUCCAAUUUACUUUUUAAACAGUGUUUAUGAAAAGACCUCAGAUGUGUUGACACAAACUAUAUCUGCAAUGUUUUUUUUUUUGUGUGUGUAGGGUGACGUUUGAAUGUGAUGUUCUGCAGCAAUGGGUCAGUAUUCCCUAAUAACCUUAGAUCCUCAUUUGAUAGUGCUUCUUGUAAUACUUUUCUCAAGUGAGUGGCAUGUUCUGGAUUGUGAUAUUGAUAUGUGGUUAAGGAUAUUGAUAUGAAACUAAGGAAUUCCUAGAAAUUAACAGUGGGCAUGUAUUAGACAGUCAUUGUAAUUUAAUGUCUAGUAGAAGUGUAAAGUACUAAGGUAUUUAGAGUUCAUAACAUUGUUAUCAUGUGUAUGGGAAGUAUUUAGUGUUGAUCAUCUUGUUUAUAUUCAUCAAAUAAACUUUGUUUCUUUCUGAAAUCAGUGUUGUGUCAUUAAAACCACGUUUAAUGACUGUACGAAAAUGUGUGAGAGAUGUUUUCCACAUGGUAAAUCUAUCACACUCCUUAUUUCUCUAAUUGCUACCAUUCAAAGUAAUUUAUCUUCCUGUUGUUACUAUCACAUAAACUGUUUAAGAAAGCAUAACAAGGAAAAUGUCUCCUAGGCCCUGC